RNAcentral lists this ribosomal RNA (497 nucleotides) under uncultured bacterium. RNAcentral describes it as "partial 16S ribosomal RNA". It matches the Rfam family "Bacterial small subunit ribosomal RNA", at positions 28 to 507 of the family's 1533-position model. The record is from RNAcentral.
GAUGAACGCUGGCGGCGUGCCUAAUACAUGCGAGUCGAGCGAACAGACGAGGAGCUUGCUCCUUUGACGUUAGCGGCGGACGGGUGAGUAACACGUGGGUAACCUACCUAUAAGACUGGGAUAACUUCGGGAAACCGGAGCUAAUACCGGAUAAUAUUUCGAACCGCAUGGUUCGAUAGUGAAAGAUGGCUCUGCUAUCACUUAUAGAUGGACCUGCGCCGUAUUAGCUAGUUGGUAAGGUAACGGCUUACCAAGGCAACGAUACGUAGCCGACCUGAGAGGGUGAUCGGCCACACUGGAACUGAGACACGGUCCAGACUCCUACGGGAGGCAGCAGUAGGGAAUCUUCCGCAAUGGGCGAAAGCCUGACGGAGCAACGCCGCGUGAGUGAUGAAGGUCUUCGGAUCGUAAAACUCUGUUAUUAGGGAAGAGCAAACGUGUAAGUAACUGUGCACGUCUUGACGGUACCUAAUCAGAAAGCCACGGCUAACUACGUG